This 447-nucleotide long non-coding RNA is filed under the name Physcomitrium patens. Its description in RNAcentral is "long non-coding RNA (PPAT_LNC007599)". The record is from RNAcentral. Lineage: Eukaryota; Viridiplantae; Streptophyta; Bryopsida; Funariales; Funariaceae.
GGCAUCUUCAGCCAAAAGACUUGGAUAAGGUCCCAUUGUAGCCCCAUCUGUAUGGUGGAAUCUUCUGUUGUACUUUUAGCUGAGCCCCACCCCACAAGCUGAGCAAUAGCAAAAACUUUAUUAGCCACUUCCUAGGGCCCCUCACUACCAUAUUUGGUUGAAACAGAAAUUGGAACCUUGCACAUUUGGAUGACCAUAUGCUGUUCUUUAUGAAUAAACAUGUAAACCCCAAAAAUACACACGGGAAACUUGUAAGUUUUGAGAAUGCAUGCCAAACUAUUAAAAGGUACAUAUUUUACCACAUUUUUUUUUUUGAAACCCAUAAAUAAUAACAAGUUUCCUUAACCAUUGUGCUUACAGAGGACAUGAACCAAUUGGAUGAAGUCCAUGAUUGAAUCAAAUAUCCAAUGUGUAAUAUUAUAUAUUUAUAUAUAUAUAUUUUACAUU